This 309-nucleotide ribosomal RNA is filed under the name Pampsilota dahomeyanus. RNAcentral's name for it is "partial large subunit ribosomal RNA". The record is from RNAcentral. Lineage: Eukaryota; Metazoa; Arthropoda; Insecta; Hymenoptera; Argidae.
AUAAUAAUUAGUCUUUUAAUUGAAGGCUGGAAUGAAGGAUUGGACGAGGUAAAUUCUGUCUCAUUUAAAUUAAAAUUUGAAUUUAAUUUUUAAGUUAAAAAGCUUAAAUGUUAUUAAAGGACGAGAAGCCCCUAUAGAGUUUUAUAAUAUUAAAUUUAAUAAAUUUUAAUUUUAUUUUGUUAUAUUAAUAUUAUUUUGUUGGGGCGACAGGAAAAUUUAUUAAACUUUUUUAUAUUUUAGACAUUUAUUUAUGAAUUUUUGAUCCUAAAUUUUAGAUUAUUAGAUUAAGUUACCUUAGGGAUAACAGCG